This is a long non-coding RNA of Drosophila mojavensis, 1350 nucleotides long. RefSeq lists it as uncharacterized. The transcript has 3 exons. NCBI's taxonomy places the organism in Eukaryota, Metazoa, Arthropoda, Insecta, Diptera, Drosophilidae. The record is from RefSeq and is a predicted model, not a curated record.
UUUUAUUUUCCAAUAAUAAAUAUCUUAACUAAUAUAAAAUGAAUUUUUUAAAAAUUUUAUGGACUGCCCCUACUAUAUAACGCGGGGCUGCAAGUCAGCUGACCCAGAGUUGCUUUGUAUGCAAAAAAAGCGCGGGAAAAAUUGUGCAACUUUGAAGUUUAGUACUGCGGUAAAUAAAAAUAAAAUUUAUAACUUUAAAAAUGGAAAACAUUACUGAUGCUAAAAAAUAACAAAAUAGUUCGUGUUUCGUGGAACAUAACUUACAAAUAGAGGAGACUAGUGAUGAAGUUUAAUUGCAAACGUGUUGUCUGAAACUUCUAUUAUUAGAGGCUUUUAACCGUUUUUGCUCCUUUUUGCUCCAUUUCGAAAAAAUAACGUUUUUAUAGCUAAGUAUGAGUUUACGCGCUCAGAGCUUCUAGACGUAUGGGCAAGCAACAAUCGCCAAGCAGACGCGGUGAAAUUGUUUAUGAUUGAAAAAAUUAAUAAUAAUGUGGAUGAAAAUGUAGAAAACAGUAUUUCUACCCAAGUAGCCCAGUUUAUUGCUUUUGUUAAAAGAUAUUUGCCCAGAUGUAACCGUAAUCUGCAUAGAUUCAAAGCAACACCUUCACGGUGGGUCGAGGGCAAAAUAUUUAUCAACUUAAAAGAAGUUAAGUCCUCGCAAGAUAAAGCUGGCCGUAAAGAACUUACUUAUGAAGAAGCAGGCAGUCGGCUGAAGAGAAAAUUAGCUUCUGAUCUUGCAAGUCAAGAAGAACACACAACCCAACUGUUUAUACAUGCUGCAUCGGUUUCAGCAAAAAAAUGCAAAGAAAAUGAUAUGGCAUUCGAAGUGAAAUAUUGAAAUAUAUAUGAAUAACUAUUUUUGGUAUCCCAUGUCCCCAACUGUGCACAAAGUUUUGAUCCAUGGAUACCAAAUAAUGGAUAGCUGCAUAGUUCCUGUUGGUGUUCUCGGAGAAAACGCAUCAGAAGCUCGAAACAAAAUUUAUAAAAAUGACAGAAGGUCGCAUGCCAGAAAGAGCAGUAGGCUAAACAACAUCACUGAUGUUUUUCACAGGGCAUUAGAUUCAUCUGAUCCGCUUUUGUCAAGUCUCUGUCUUAAAAAAAGACAGAAGCUUCACAAAAAAUUAAAAUUUCCAAGCGAAGUGAUUGAUCUGUUUGCUCUGAUUGAGCCUCCGCAAAUCGCGCAUCAAUUUACAAAUGAAACUGAAAGUUUAGAAGCUGAAGAUGAGGAUGAGGAUGAUGCAAACAAUUUCGACCCGAAUAUCGAAUUGGAUGAAGAAAAUUAUGAUUAUUGAUGUUAAUUUUUGGAGAUGUGGGUAUCAACGGAAUGAAUAUACACAUUUUAAUUUUUUU